This is a long non-coding RNA of Ctenopharyngodon idella (grass carp), 1156 nucleotides long. RefSeq lists it as uncharacterized. The transcript is spliced from 2 exons. Lineage: Eukaryota; Metazoa; Chordata; Actinopteri; Cypriniformes; Xenocyprididae. The record is from RefSeq and is a predicted model, not a curated record.
AAGUAAAAAGACAUUAGUGAACGUCAACAACAACAAAAGAAAAGCAAAUGCUUAAACGUUCUGGUCAUCAAAUUCCCUUUUAGGUCAAGUUUAUAUUUAAGUCAAGUCACAUUAUAAAGCGCUUUUUUACAAUACAAUGGAGCGCCGCACAUGGCACGCAAGUAAAGAAAAGUAAAUUGUGCACACGAUUUACUAAUUUGUUCCCCGAUUUACUAAAUUGUGUGCACAAUUUACUAUUUUGUUCCCUCAAUUUGAUAAAUCGCAUGGAUGAUUUACUAUUUCGUUCCCUCGAUUUGCUAAAUUGCGCGGAAUAUUUACUAUUUCAUUUAAUCGCAAUAAACAGGCAUGUAAACACUUUGGCUGCAUCCGAAAUAGCACACUUCUUUCCUAUAUAGUAGGCGAAAAACAGGAUGUGACACAAGGAGUAUGUUCGAAUUUGAAGUACUGAUAAAACAGUACCCGGAUGACCUACUAUUUCCGGUCAGCAAAAAAAAAAAAAAAAAAUCCAAUACGUCCAUUGAAAUGUGUUAAAACAGUGGCCAGUAUGUUAGUUCAUCAUUUGUGCUGUUCAGAGGAGUAUAUGAAUAAUGGCGGUAAAAAUUAACCAGAAUUCUUAGAGAAUAAUCAGAAUAAUUGCUUGUAAGCGGGAGUGAAGUUUUGCUCGUGUCACAUAAACAUCUUACUCUGAUGAUUAUUGGAAAAAUCGCAUUUUCGGCAAGCACAGUCAAUGAUGCAAGCUUCAACAAAUAUUAGUCAAAUUCAAACUUUGCUCUAAAGCUGCUUGAAAAAGACAGUCAUGAUUCAGCUCGAGGCAGUUCCUUUUUGGUUCAUUAGUUCAACAGUUCUAUAAUUAUCCUUUAGUAUGGUAUUGCAAAUUCAUAGUUAUUGUGGUUACGCUGGACAAACUAGGUCAUGUGGUAACUGGAACACAGUAACUGGUUUGUUGUGGCCAGCCAGCUCUAACCAUCUUGACUGAGGUGGUGUACCAGAUCCACCAGACAGUCAAUGUACAAUCAAACCACCAGAAGCUAGUUUUAGCUGCAUAAAAGUUUGCUAGUGGUACCUUGGAUCACAUUCUCCAUGAUGAUGUUGAGCACCUCUUCUUCACCAAACUCUGAAGACUUUGGUUUGAUGUUCUUCAUCCUCUCCAGAGCAA